UACGAAGGGGGCUAGCGUUGCUCGGAAUCACUGGGCGUAAAGCGCACGUAGGCGGAUUGUUAAGUCAGGGGUGAAAUCCUGGAGCUCAACUCCAGAACUGCCUUUGAUACUGGCGAUCUUGAGUCCGGGAGAGGUGAGUGGAACUGCGCGUGUAGAGGUGAAAUUCGUAGAUAUUCGCAAGAACACCAGUGGCGAAGGCGGCUCACUGGCCCGGUACUGACGCUGAGGUGCGAAAGCGUGGGGAGCGAACAGG
Molecule: ribosomal RNA, 253 nt
Filed under: uncultured bacterium
Lineage: Bacteria
Description: partial 16S ribosomal RNA
Rfam family: Bacterial small subunit ribosomal RNA
Source: RNAcentral